Molecule: long non-coding RNA, 207 nt
Filed under: Mytilus galloprovincialis (Mediterranean mussel)
Lineage: Eukaryota; Metazoa; Mollusca; Bivalvia; Mytilida; Mytilidae
Source: RNAcentral
CGAUUUUUAAAUUCCAUGGCUUUCAUAUAAUUGGUUUUAAGUGUUCCAGAUGAAAGCAAAUAAAAAAUAACCUUCGGAGUUCGUAGCUUUUGAUUUUGAUUGCCAAUGAGACGAAAGACAUGAUCGAAUUGACGAUGAAUAAAAGUAUCGAUUAAUAUCAUUGAAUAUUAACAAGUACAAUUUAGGUGUACAUUGAGAAGACAAAUG